UUAUGUUUCUCUUCGUUUUCUUGACCACAAGACAUAUUUACUCAGGAAUUGAUGAUCUACUACUCAAGUAAUUGUUAUGAAUACAAAUAGCAAAUUUUUCGUGCCUCCUACGUAUCUCUGGGCUAAACAGAGAUGGUUAUCAUUUAUUUAUUUAACAAGAUGUUAAAUGUCUACUAUGUGCCAAGCACUGCAUUCCAUCUGUGUGUGCUAGGGGUUUGUUAGUGUGCCUAUCUUCAGGUUAUGUGAAAGAGUACUGGAUUACAUGCUAAAAGAACCAAAGUCAACUACUGCCUCUCUGACAUACAUGCAGACUUCCCUUGUUCAUUUCUGGACCUCAAUUUCCUCAUCUACAAUAUGAAGAUAAUAAUCUCUGAUCUGACUACAUUGCAAGAUUAUUAUGAAGAUUAAAUAAGUACUUCACCCAGGCUCAUUUCAUUCUUCUACACCUAUUCCAAUGGAAUUGCAAGAGUUAUUGUCCCCCUGGACUUCCGAAGUGGAAAGAAUAGGAGAAAAUGUAAGGAAGCUGCUCUUUGAUCUCCGUGUACAUCAAUUACAGCUCCUCCAGGCAUCCUGAGGGGAAGAUGUAAAGAAUCAGAGCCAGAGGAUAAAUGGUGACUCUGUGGGUCCCGGAAACCCUUCAAGAUCUUUGAAAAUAAGGACUGCUAUAUCAUUCACUAUGUGUAUCCCCAUUCCUAUGCUACAGAGAGAAGAUCUGUCCUCUACAGCCACAGUGGAUAAGGGCAAAUUAGGAAUAAGAAAGAAGCAAUCUUAAGAGCAGAAAGAAAGUUGGGCUGUCCACUGGGAAACACAAUUCAGUUAAAAUGACCAAAUCUCUUGAAGACUGAAAACUAACUUCAAAUACAGGAUUUCUGCAAACUACAGAUGCUUUCCAGAAAUGACUGCUUACUUAAACAUACUCAUUAAGCAAGAAGGCCGCUAUCUGCAAACCAGGAAGAGAGCCCUCACCAGGAACCACAUUGGUCCACACCUUGAUCUUGGACUUCCCAGCCUUCAGGACCAUGAGAAAUAAAUCUCUGUUGCUUAAGCUGCAGUCUAUGGUAUUUUGUUAUAACAGCCCAAACUGACUAAAACACUAGUGGUGCAGCAUUAUUG
Molecule: long non-coding RNA, 1113 nt
Filed under: Homo sapiens (human)
Lineage: Eukaryota; Metazoa; Chordata; Mammalia; Primates; Hominidae
Description: HSALNT0203559
Source: RNAcentral